GAUCUUGCGACAAUGGGCGAAAGCCUGACGCAGCAACGCCGCGUGCGGGAGGACGGCCUUCGGGUUGUAAACCGCUUUUCGGGGGGAAGAGGAAGGACGGUACCCCCGGAAGAAGCCCCGGCUAACUACGUGCCAGCAGCCGCGGUAAUACGUAGGGGGCAAGCGUUGUCCGGAUUCAUUGGGCGUAAAGAGCGUGUAGGCGGCCAGGUAGGUCGGUUGUGAAAACUGGAGGCUCAACCUUCAGACGUCGACCGAAACCAUCUGGCUAGAGUCCGGGAGAGGAGAGUGGAAUUCCUGGUGUAGCGGUGAAAUGCGCAGAUAUCAGGAAGAACACCCGUGGCGAAAGCGGCUCUCUGGAACGGUACUGACGCUGAGACGCGAAAGCGUGGGGAGCGAACAG
RNAcentral lists this ribosomal RNA (400 nucleotides) under uncultured bacterium. Its description in RNAcentral is "bacterial SSU rRNA". It matches the Rfam family "Bacterial small subunit ribosomal RNA", at positions 359 to 775 of the family's 1533-position model. The record is from RNAcentral.